AUUGAACGCUGGCGGCAGGCCUAACACAUGCAAGUCGAACGAGUGGCGGACGGGUGAGUAAUGUCUGGGAAACUGCCCGAUGGAGGGGGAUAACUACUGGAAACGGUAGCUAAUACCGCAUACCAUUGGUUUUGCCCAGAGGGGAUUAGCUUGUGGGUGAGGUAACGGCUCACCUAGGCGACGAGCCCUAGCUGGUCUGAGAGGAGGACCAGCCACACUGGAACUGAGACACGGUCCAGACUCCUAAGGGAGGCAGCAGUGGGGAAUAUUUGACAAUGGGCGAAAGCCUGAUGCAGCAAUGCCGCGUGUAUGAAGAAGGCCUUCGGGUUGUAAAGUACUUUCAGCGGGGAGGCGUUACCCGCAGAAGAAGCACCGGCUAACUCCGUGCCAGCAGCCGCGGUAAUUC
RNAcentral lists this ribosomal RNA (406 nucleotides) under uncultured bacterium. RNAcentral describes it as "partial 16S ribosomal RNA". It matches the Rfam family "Bacterial small subunit ribosomal RNA", at positions 30 to 526 of the family's 1533-position model. The record is from RNAcentral.